UUUCUGGUGAGCUUUCUAUACGAAGAGUGAAAUAUAUUGAUAUGAAACAGUAUACUGUACCCAGAUGACACUGCCUAACUUACUGAAAUAGUCUUUGGGGAUUUUACUGUGAUAUGCAAGAUACUAGCAUAUAGCAUACAGUAGACAGGGUUGUAAUUUGCAUAUUUACCGUACAGCGAUGUUCUCAGUAAGACAAAUGUAAUAUGGGUUGUGCUUGUCAAGAUCAUUGUGCUGUGUUCACGUAAACACCAGGAACUGGCCUUGAGGAGAACUGGAUAUGUGCGAGGCAGAGAAAUGAAAAUAAUAAGCUGAUUUACUCCAUCAUAAGAGAGUGUGUGGUUGUGCAUGCCUGGCAAAGCCCCUGGACUAAAGCGUGGGCAUAGUCUCCUGGAGCUACGGAUUUGGGAUUGAUUCUCUCCUCUCCUUCACGUUGAGCUCACGGAGAGAAAGCAUGGAUGAAAUUCACAACGGUCAUUUAUGAGACAGAAAAAGAUCCAUCACCCCAAGAAGCCCCAGUGCCUUCUGGGAUUGGGAUGGGCAUGACAUCACACUAAGUUUAACAGUUUCUAUAGUACAUACAUUAACAAGGCAUGAUCUUCAUUCAACCCAACACCUUGGAGAGCAGUCCAUGUUGUUGAAUUCUCCGAGGCUACCUGGAGCAACUUGAAGAAAAUCUCAUGACUGUUUUCUGCCUGUGGUGAGGUAUGGAAUCCAGGGAAGUACAAG
Long non-coding RNA from Hypomesus transpacificus, 726 nucleotides. RefSeq lists it as uncharacterized. The record is from RefSeq and is a predicted model, not a curated record. The transcript has 3 exons. Lineage: Eukaryota; Metazoa; Chordata; Actinopteri; Osmeriformes; Osmeridae.